This 434-nucleotide ribosomal RNA is filed under the name uncultured Lachnospiraceae bacterium. RNAcentral describes it as "partial 16S ribosomal RNA". It matches the Rfam family "Bacterial small subunit ribosomal RNA", at positions 341 to 792 of the family's 1533-position model. Lineage: Bacteria; Bacillati; Bacillota; Clostridia; Lachnospirales; Lachnospiraceae. The record is from RNAcentral.
ACGGAAGGCAGCAGUGGGGAAUAUUGGACAAUGGGGGAAACCCUGAUCCAGCGACGCCGCGUGAGUGAAGAAGUAUUUCGGUACGUAAAGCUCUAUCAGCAGGGAAGAAAAUGACGGUACCUGACUAAGAAGCCCCGGCUAACUACGUGCCAGCAGCCGCGGUAAUACGUAGGGGGCAAGCGUUAUCCGGAUUUACUGGGUGUAAAGGGAGCGUAGACGGUAUGGCAAGUCUGAAGUGAAAGCCCGCGGCUUAACUGCGGGACUGCUUUGGAAACUGUCAGACUAGAGUGUCGGAGAGGUGAGUGGAAUUCCCAGUGUAGCGGUGAAAUGCGUAGAUAUUGGGAGGAACACCGGGGGCGAAGGCGGCUCACUGGACGAUAACUGACGUUGAGGCUCGAAAGCGUGGGGAGCAAACAGGAUUAGAUACCCUGGUA